This 497-nucleotide ribosomal RNA is filed under the name uncultured bacterium. RNAcentral's name for it is "partial 16S ribosomal RNA". It matches the Rfam family "Bacterial small subunit ribosomal RNA", at positions 28 to 507 of the family's 1533-position model. The record is from RNAcentral.
GAUGAACGCUGGCGGCGUGCCUAAUACAUGAAAGUCGAGCGAACGGACGAGAAGCUUGCUUCUCUGAUGUUAGCGGCGGACGGGUGAGUAACACGUGGAUAACCUACCUAUAAGACUGGGAUAACUUCGGGAAACCGUAGCUAAUACCGGAUAAUAUUUUGAACCGCAUGGUUCAAAAGUGAAAGACGGUCUUGCUGUCACUUAUAGAUGGAUCCGCGCUGCAUUAGCUAGUUGGUAAGGUAACGGCUUACCAAGGCAACGAUGCAUAGCCGACCUGAGAGGGUGAUCGGCCACACUGGAACUGAGACACGGUCCAGACUCCUACGGGAGGCAGCAGUAGGGAAUCUUCCGCAAUGGGCGAAAGCCUGACGGAGCAACGCCGCGUGAGUGAUGAAGGUCUUCGGAUCGUAAAACUCUGUUAUUAGGGAAGAACAUAUGUGUAAGUAACUGUGCACAUCUUGACGGUACCUAAUCAGAAAGCCACGGCUAACUACGUG